CCUAGCGACGAGCGGCGAACGGGUGAGUAAUGCUUUGGAAUCUGCCCAGUAGUGGGGAAUAACCUGGGGAAACUCAGGCUAAUACCGCAUACGUCCUAAGGGAGAAAGCGGGGGAUCGCAAGACCUCGCGCUAUUGGAUGAGCCAAAGUCGGAUUAGCUAGUUGGUGGGGUAAAGGCCUACCAAGGCGACGAUCCGUAGCUGGUCUGAGAGGACGACCAGCCACACUGGGACUGAGACACGGCCCAGACUCCUACGGGAGGCAGCAGUGGGGAAUAUUGGACAAUGGGGGCAACCCUGAUCCAGCGACGCCGCGUGUGUGAAGAAGGCCUGCGGGUUGUAAAGCACUUUUAGUGGGGAUGAAAAGUCCAAGGUUAAUACCUUUGGAUCUUGACCUAACCCAAAGAAAAAGCACCGGCUAACUCUGUGCCAGCAGCCGCGGUAAUACAGAGGGUGCAAGCGUUAAUCGGAAUUACUGGGCGUAAAGCGUGCGUA
This 493-nucleotide ribosomal RNA is filed under the name uncultured Gammaproteobacteria bacterium. RNAcentral's name for it is "bacterial SSU rRNA". It matches the Rfam family "Bacterial small subunit ribosomal RNA", at positions 84 to 573 of the family's 1533-position model. The record is from RNAcentral. Lineage: Bacteria; Pseudomonadati; Pseudomonadota; Gammaproteobacteria.